This 268-nucleotide ribosomal RNA is filed under the name uncultured bacterium. Its description in RNAcentral is "partial 16S ribosomal RNA". It matches the Rfam family "Bacterial small subunit ribosomal RNA", at positions 793 to 1055 of the family's 1533-position model. The record is from RNAcentral.
GUCCUAGCCGUAAACGAUGGGCACUGACCUGAGGUCUCCCUGUGGGAUCUCAGGUGUAGCAAAUGUGAUAAGUGCCCCGCCUGGGGAGUAUGGUCGCAAGGCUAAAACUCAAAGGAAUUGACGGGGGCUCACACAAGCGGUGGAGCAUGUGGUUCAAUUCGAUGCAACGCGAAGAACCUUACCCAGGCUUGACAUGCUGGGAUUACCUUGGUGAAAGCCAGGGGAUUACCUUCGGGUGUAACCAGCACAGGUGUUGCAUGGCUGUCGU